AGGCCCGCAGGAGUCUUCCGGAAUAUUCUGCAGCUGAGGCGAUUCAUCAGUCAGCAAGCUUCACAAACAGGAAAGGCUGUCUUUAUUUUUUUCACGGGGAAUGAACUAGGGUCUCAUUCACUGUAGGCAAGUGCACUAUCAUGGAGCUAGGUCCUCAGCCUUAUUACUGUAAAUGCACUGUAUUGCUUAAAAAAAAAAAAAGAAUCAUGAUCUCACAUUGCAGGUGGGGCUAGUCUGGUUCACAGAGUGAGUUCUAAGACAGCCAGGGAUACUCAAGGAAACCUUGUCUUGAAAAAAACAACAUCUAAAACAACACACACACACACACACACACACACACACUUAUAUAUAUAUGAUGUGUGAGUGUUUUACCUCAUGCAUUGGCAUCAUGUGUGUGGCAUGUGCCUGGUGUUACAGAUGGUUGUGAGCCAUCCUUUGGUUAUUGGGAACUGAGUGGGGCCUCUAGGAGAACAAUACUUGCUCUUAACAGCUGAGCAUCUCUCCAGUCCCUUCUUCUUUUUACUGUGAAGCACCAAUGGUGUACUGAGGCUUUUUUCUAAGUUCUUUAUAUACAUGAAGCAGUUCAAUCCUCAUAGCAUAUCAUGGGGCUGGGGACAGUACUUAUCUAUAUUUUGCAAAUAAGCAGAUAGGCCCAAAGAGCAAAUAGAUCUGAGAUUAGAACUUAGACUAUCUGCUUCCAGCAAUUUUAUUUUGUUUAUAACUAUUUUGACCUGUUUAUAUAAAAUUCUAGAACAGAUGAGUUACAAAGCCACGUAUAGUAAAAGGAAGCAAGUCAGGACUUGUCUAGAGACAGGGUGGAGGAAUGAUAUUUGAAAGGGGUGCAAAGAAACCUUGGGAAGUGAUAGGAACGUUUGUCAUGUGAUGGUUUUGAUGGUUGUGGGAGCAUUUUAAAAGAUACAAAGGGCCUGCAAUCCCGGAAGCUCUGGGUGCUGAGGCAGAAGGAUUACAAACUCAAGACCUGCCUGGGCAGUUACUGAGCAAUUUUGGGGCUACCUGGCUGCAUGAGACCCUGUAAAAAGAAACCAUACAAGUUAAAAAAGGGCUCGGGCUGGAGAGAUGGCUCAGCAGUUAAGAGCACUGGUUGUUCUUCCAGAGGUCCUGAGUUCAAUUCCCAGCAACCACAUGGUGGCUCGCGACCAUCUGUAAUGAGAUCUGAUGCCCUUUUCUGGUGUGUCUGAAGGCAGCAACAAUGUACUCACAUACAUGAAAUAAAUAAAUCUU
Molecule: long non-coding RNA, 1242 nt
Filed under: Mus musculus (house mouse)
Lineage: Eukaryota; Metazoa; Chordata; Mammalia; Rodentia; Muridae
Description: long non-coding RNA chr7:24601307-24602549
Source: RNAcentral